This 465-nucleotide ribosomal RNA is filed under the name uncultured bacterium. RNAcentral's name for it is "partial 16S ribosomal RNA". It matches the Rfam family "Bacterial small subunit ribosomal RNA", at positions 28 to 507 of the family's 1533-position model. The record is from RNAcentral.
GACGAACGCUGGCGGCGUGCUUAACACAUGCAAGUCGAACGGAAAGGCCCUGCUUGCAGGGUACUCGAGUGGCGAACGGGUGAGUAACACGUGGGUGAUCUGCCCUGCACUUCGGGAUAAGCUUGGGAAACUGGGUCUAAUACCGGAUAGGAGCCAUCUUUAGUGUGGUGGUUGGAAAGUUUUUUCGGUGUAGGAUGAGCUCGCGGCCUAUCAGCUUGUUGGUGGGGUAAUGGCCUACCAAGGCGGCGACGGGUAGCCGGCCUGAGAGGGUGUACGGCCACAUUGGGACUGAGAUACGGCCCAGACUCCUACGGGAGGCAGCAGUGGGGAAUAUUGCACAAUGGGCACAAGCCUGAUGCAGCGACGCCGCGUGGGGGAUGAAGGCCUUCGGGUUGUAAACUCCUUUCGCUAGGGACGAAGCUUUUUGUGACGGUACCUAGAUAAGAAGCACCGGCUAACUACGUG